Molecule: ribosomal RNA, 702 nt
Filed under: uncultured bacterium
Lineage: Bacteria
Description: bacterial SSU rRNA
Rfam family: Bacterial small subunit ribosomal RNA
Source: RNAcentral
UUGCUUCUUUGCUGACGACCGGCGCACGGGUGCGUAACGCGUAUACGAUCUGCCUUGUACUGGGGGAUAGCCUUGAGAAAUGAAGAUUAGCACCCCAUAGUAUAUGACUGUGGCAUCGCAGACGUAUUAAAGGUUACGGUACAAGAUGAGUAUGCGGCCUAUUAGCUAGAUGGUGUGGUAACGGCACACCAUGGCGACGAUAGGUAGGGGCCCUGAGAGGGGGAUCCCCCACGCUGGUACUGAGACACGGACCAGACUCAUACGGGAGGCAGCAGUGAGGAAUAUUGGACAAUGGAGGCAACUCUGAUCCAGCCAUGCCGCGUGCAGGAAGACUGCCCUAUGGGUUGUAAACUGCUUUUAUACGGGAAGAAACACCCCCACGUGUGGGGGCUUGACGGUACCGUAAGAAUAAGCACCGGCUAACUCCGUGCCAGCAGCCGCGGUAAUACGGAGGGUGCAAGCGUUAUCCGGAAUCAUUGGGUUUAAAGGGUCCGUAGGCGGACAAUUAAGUCAGAGGUGAAAGUCUGCAGCUCAACUGUAGAAUUGCCUUUGAUACUGGUUGUCUUGAAUUAUUGUGAAGUGGUUAGAAUAAGUAGUGUAGCGGUGAAAUGCAUAGAUAUUACUUAGAAUACCAAUUGCGAAGGCAGAUCACUAACAAUAUAUUGACGCUGAGGGACGAAAGCGUGGGGAGCGAACAGGAUU